Molecule: long non-coding RNA, 2155 nt
Organism: Monodelphis domestica (gray short-tailed opossum)
Lineage: Eukaryota; Metazoa; Chordata; Mammalia; Didelphimorphia; Didelphidae
Source: Ensembl
AUCAAUAAUAUGGAAAUAGGUAUCAAGUGAUAACAUUUGUACAACCCUGUGAAAUCAAUUGUUGGCUCUGGGAGGGGGAAGGGAAGAGAAGAGGAAAAGAACAUGAAUCAUGUAACCAUGGAAAAAUAUUCUAAAUUAAUUAAUUUUUAUAAAGAUACUAUGCUUUGAGUUGUGAAGAUUGGAUUUAGCUAUCUCCUGAUUUGUAACAAUGAAGAUGCUUAGCCUAACAAAAUCAGGGAUGUCUUAGGAACUUUGCAUUAUUCCACCUUACUUUGUUUAACAAAAUCGGGAAUGUGUGUAACCAUGCUUGAAGCUUGAGUGUUUAGGAGGAUGGCCUUUGAUAGAGAAAUUGACAAAUCAGAAACAGCUGACAGACCCCUGGGCUGUCCUAAGUCAAGCUUAGGCUAAGAUUGGUACAGAGGAGAUGCAGGAAAGGGAGGUAGAAUCAUCUAGGGUUUUUUUUCACAGGGCUUCCUCUCAUCUGUCUCUUUCCCUGCUCUGGCUGGCAGUGUGCUAAGUGUUCCGACAUCUUGGCGUGGCGGCAGCUAUUUGUCUGUGUUUUGGUGGUGAGUUUGCCCUUGAGCUAAUUCAGGUCCAGGCAUCUUGGCUGAGCCCUCUUGGAGUUCAGGCUGAUUCCUUCUUCCUUUCCUCUCCAAAACUUUAUCUUCCUAGAGCCUCUAAUCUUCCUCCUGGCAUAAGCCAGGUGGGAAAAAUCCUACACCCUUUCCUUCUCCCUUCUUCUUAAUUUCUUUCCACUAUAUUAAUUAAAUCACUAUAAAUUUCCAGCUGACUUGGGUAUUUUUUAUUUGGGAUAUUCAUGGCGACCAAUAAUUAAUAUAGUUUAGGUCACAAUGCUAAAAUUAUCCUUAACAGAGUGAAGAAGACGGGUUUAAAUUUUUCUUCAAACACUACCAGCUGUGUGACCCAAAAUCUAUAUGCUUCAAGCAACUUUCUAGAGCUUAUCAACUAAAGUCAUGCUUGAGUUGGAAUCAUGCCAGUGAAGAAAGUUUCCAUUCUAAGAGUUAUCAAUGCACUGAUCUGGGACGAUCCUGGAAGACCUAUGAUGAGAAAGGCUAUCCACCUCCGGAGCAAGAACUCUUGGAUGCUGGAGGCAUCUUAGCUCUAAGAUUUAAUAUUAAAAACUUAUAUAUGUAACUUUGGAAAAUUGCUAGUUAGUCUGAAAAUGUACCAUGAUAUAGUGUGAUUUUAUGGUAAUAAUUGUAUACUAAUCAAAGGUGAAAUGUUAGCAAAAUUCAAUUCUGCACAGUAUCUAUACUAGAGAAUUGUUUAUUGUCACUAAGAAAUUUCAGAACUCUCUGAAUGUAAUUAAUAGGCAGCUUGACACAAAGAGGGAAUUUUCCUUUUCAAAGGCAAAAAACAAUACUGGAUAAUAUUUAUGUGCAAAAUUCAGUCAGACAGAGGUUAUGGUGUAUUGUGGAGAAUCUUUUCUAAGAUUGAAAUUUGGGGUUUUAUGUGGGAUGUCUUUUAAUAACAUGUACUACAUGUUAGUAUUGAGCUCUUAGAAGUUUAAUUUGAUAAUCAAUAUGUGAAUUUAUAUAGGUAUUAAAAAGCUUAAAUUGGAAUUUUUAAUCAAUGUUAUACUUUAUUGUACUGAGAAAUUGUUUUUAUCUAUUCAAAUAUAAUCUGUUAGAAUGUCAUAAUGGAUAUAUACAAAAUUUGUAUGAAGUUGAGCUGUGAAGAAAAUCAAUUUUUAUGCAAACUAUAUAUAAUGCUAUUGGCAAAGGAAAUUCAACCUAUCCAGAAAUCAAAUAAGAUUCAUUCUUAGGCUAUUAAACAUAAGUAAAAUGUAGUCACCCCUCCCCUAUUUAUAGUAAGAGUAAUAGAGACAAAAAAUGAAGGUUUUCUUCUUCUUGGAGCAGAAGUUUGAAAGGAGAACUGGAAUCUUAAGGAAACAUUGUUAGGGAACUCUAAACAAAGUCAAUUUGGAAGUUGGGAAGUUUUAAUUAAUAUAUUGGGAGUGUUUUAAUAUCACAAUUAAAAAAAACAUGCAACUUAAGUGUUAUUGAAAAGAAAGGAACAAAAUUUUUUCCCUCGGCAAAGUACCUUUACUGGGAAAACAGCCAAGUGCAACCAGUCUUGGACCUUUUCCAAAAAUAACUCAAACCCUUCCUCAGGCAUAGGCAAGAGAUCAAAA